Molecule: ribosomal RNA, 524 nt
Filed under: uncultured bacterium
Lineage: Bacteria
Description: bacterial SSU rRNA
Rfam family: Bacterial small subunit ribosomal RNA
Source: RNAcentral
AAUAGAUACCCUGGUAGUCCACGCCCUAAACGAUGAUUACUCGUCAUUGGCGAUACACAGUCAGUGACCAAGCGAAAGCGUUAAGUAAUCCACCUGGGAAGUACGACCGCAAGGUUGAAACUCAAAGGAAUUGACGGGGGUCCGCACAAGCGGUGGGGCAUGUGGUUUAAUUCGAUGAUACGCGAGGAACCUUACCUGGGCUAGAAUGUGAGUGACCGGUGGUGAAAGCCACUUUUCCGCAAGGACACGAAACAAGGUGCUGCAUGGCUGUCGUCAGCUCGUGCCGUGAGGUGUUGGGUUAAGUCCCGCAACGAGCGCAACCCCCAUCUUCAGUUGCCAUCAUUAAGUUGGGCACUCUGGAGAAACUGCCGCCGUAAGGCGCGAGGAAGGAGGGGACGAUGUCAAGUCAUCAUGGCCUUUAUGCCCAGGGCUACACACGUGCUACAAUGGUAAGGACAAAGGGCAGCUACCUGGCGACAGGAUGCGAAUCUCAAAAACCUUAUCUCAGUUCGGAUUGCAGGCUG